Molecule: long non-coding RNA, 827 nt
Organism: Gadus morhua (Atlantic cod)
Lineage: Eukaryota; Metazoa; Chordata; Actinopteri; Gadiformes; Gadidae
Exons: 4
Source: RefSeq, a predicted model, not a curated record
AUGAUUACCUGGUUGGGGCUCCUACAUCAUCACAUGAACACCAUGGAGGAAUGAUCAGCUGGGUUGUCCAUUAACAGCCCUACGUCUUCACAUGAACCCCAAUAUUCACCUUCUUGACACAGGUUAAUGAGGUCAUGGUUAGAGCAGCUCGCGCUGGUCUUAACUCGUUGGUCUAAAGUUUAACCCUCCGCGUUACCGUCUGGUUCACUGCGACGUGAGUCAGCAGGUUCACUGAGGAACAUCACUGGGCCGGAUCAAUGAGGAGCGUUAUCAGGCCGCUUCACCGCAACAAGGGUUCACUGAAGAGCAUUAACGGGCGGUUCACUGAAUAGCGGUUAACCGCGACAUGGAGCACAUGGCUGCAUAUCAGGACCGAUCAACGGCAGAGAAGAAAGCCACUUGGAGUAAAACACAGAUGCUGGGUCUGGCUGGUGUGUUUGAAGCUUCAGUUGCAGGUGCAAAUAGAGAGGUCAACAUGCUGUUUUCGCAAUAUGCUGCUGUUUUAAGUGAGAGAGCAGCACUAGACGCCUCUCAGGUCAGGGACCUGGAGGGCAUUCUGAAUGAGGCCAGGCAGCUUGAGGCUCAGCUACAGGAGAAGAAGGACAACCUGAAGCAUACUCUAGUCCUUAUUGCUGAUAAACUCAAGGGGUGAUGAUCUUCCACCCAGGCCCAAAAGAACACAUCUCAUCAAAUCAGUUUUUUGUUUUUAAACAUAUUUAUUUUUGUUGUCAGUGUUUAUACAUUUUAUUUUUACAGUUGUGUCUUCAUAUUUAGUUUUGAUUCAGUAUUGCACCAGUUACAAUAUGGAAUAAAUGAAUAGCCAUUAA